RNAcentral lists this ribosomal RNA (734 nucleotides) under uncultured Sneathia sp. RNAcentral describes it as "bacterial SSU rRNA". It matches the Rfam family "Bacterial small subunit ribosomal RNA", at positions 28 to 776 of the family's 1533-position model. Lineage: Bacteria; Fusobacteriati; Fusobacteriota; Fusobacteriia; Fusobacteriales; Leptotrichiaceae. The record is from RNAcentral.
GAUAAACGCUGACAGAAUGCUUAACACAUGCAAGUCGAUGAUGGGAGCUAGCUUGCUAGAAGAAGUCAUGGCGGACGGGUGAGUAACGUGUAAAGAACUUACCAUAUAGACUGGGAUAACAGAGGGAAACUUCUGAUAAUACUGGAUAAGUUAGUAGUAGCAUUACUAAGUAAUGAAAGGUAGCAAUACGCUAUAUGAGAGCUUUGCAUCCUAUUAGCUAGUUGGUGGGGUAAAAGCCUACCAAGGCGAUGAUAGGUAGCCGGCCUGAGAGGGUGGACGGCCACAAGGGGACUGAGAUACGGCCCUUACUCCUACGGGAGGCAGCAGUGGGGAAUAUUGGACAAUGGAGGCAACUCUGAUCCAGCAAUUCUGUGUGUGUGAAGAAGGUUUUAGGACUGUAAAACACUUUUAGUAGGGAAGAAAUAAAUGACGGUACCUACAGAAGAAGCGACGGCUAAAUACGUGCCAGCAGCCGCGGUAAUACGUAUGUCGCGAGCGUUAUCCGGAAUUAUUGGGCUUAAAGGGCAUCUAGGCGGUUAAACAAGUUGAAGGUGAAAACCUGUGGCUCAACCAUAGGCUUGCCUACAAAACUGUAUAACUAGAGUACUGGAAAGGUGGGUGGAACUACACGAGUAGAGGUGAAAUUCGUAGAUAUGUGUAGGAAUGCCGAUGAUGAAGAUAACUCACUGGACAGCAACUGACGCUGAAGUGCGAAAGCUAGGGGAGCAAACGGG